GGGCGAAUGGUCUAGGGGUAUGAUUUCUGUUUCGCAUACAGAAGGUCCCGUGUUCGAAUCACGGUUCGUCCA
RNAcentral lists this transfer RNA (72 nucleotides) under Thermothielavioides terrestris NRRL 8126. Its description in RNAcentral is "tRNA-Ala (CGC) (tRNA-Ala-CGC-2-1)". It matches the Rfam family "tRNA". Rfam says of the family: Transfer RNA (tRNA) molecules are approximately 80 nucleotides in length. Lineage: Eukaryota; Fungi; Ascomycota; Sordariomycetes; Sordariales; Chaetomiaceae. The record is from RNAcentral.